This is a long non-coding RNA of Clupea harengus (Atlantic herring), 459 nucleotides long. The record is from Ensembl. NCBI's taxonomy places the organism in Eukaryota, Metazoa, Chordata, Actinopteri, Clupeiformes, Clupeidae.
AAAUGCACUGAUACAUCAUUUAAUCCCCUUUACCUUGUUUAAUGACCCAAACAGACAUGGCAAAGGAACAGAAGGAUGGUGAUAUGAAGGCAGAAAUAUUUAGGGUGGAAGAACAAGGGAAGAGAGUUCAAGAAAACAGCCAGAAGCAUAAUACAAAACAGGAGCAAGAGACAAUGAAGUUAAAUAUGGGCAGAGAAAGAAUGGAAGAAGAGAUAAAGAUGAUGGAUGCAGAACAUGAUAAAGCCAAUAUGUCAAGGAGACUGGAAGAGAAGAGUAUGAGUGCUCUGGAAGAAGAAGAGGAGAAGAGGAGAGUAAAGGAGGAAGUUGAGACAGAGAUGGUGAAAGGACAUCCCUCCCCUGCAGAAAAGUUAGAGUCUGAUGAUAAAGUCUUGAGAGUUCCUGCAGAAUGUGAAAAAGAAGGAAAGAAAGGCAGGAAUAAAGGCAAGGAGAUCCUGACGG